This 1402-nucleotide ribosomal RNA is filed under the name Colwellia sp. C1TZA3. RNAcentral's name for it is "partial 23S ribosomal RNA". It matches the Rfam family "Bacterial large subunit ribosomal RNA", at positions 1 to 1445 of the family's 2925-position model. The record is from RNAcentral. Lineage: Bacteria; Pseudomonadati; Pseudomonadota; Gammaproteobacteria; Alteromonadales; Colwelliaceae.
GUUGUAUGGUUAAGUGACUAAGCGUAUGUGGUGGAUGCCUUGGCAGUUAGAGGCGAUGAAGGACGUGUUAAUCUGCGAAAAGCUUUGGUGAGGUGAUAAAAACCGUUAUAGCCAAAGAUAUCCGAAUGGGGAAACCCACCCAACGUAAGUUGGGUAUCAUUAAGUGAAUACAUAGCUUAAUGAGGCGAACCGGGAGAACUGAAACAUCUAAGUACCCCGAGGAAAAGAAAUCAACCGAGAUUUCCUUAGUAGCGGCGAGCGAACGGGAAUUAGCCCUUAAGUGGUUUGUAAGUUAGUGGAAUCUACUGGAAAGUAGAGCGAUACAGGGUGAUAGCCCCGUACACGAAAAUAAACUUAUCAUGAAAUCGAGUAGGUCGGCACACGUGAAACGUUGACUGAACAUGGGGGGACCAUCCUCCAAGGCUAAAUACUCCUAACUGACCGAUAGUGAACCAGUACCGUGAGGGAAAGGCGAAAAGAACCCCUGUGAGGGGAGUGAAAUAGAACCUGAAACCGCAUACGUACAAGCAGUGAGAGCUAGAUUGAGUCUAGUGAUUGCGUACCUUUUGUAUAAUGGGUCAGCGACUUAUAUUCUGUAGCAAGGUUAACCGAAUAGGGGAGCCGUAGCGAAAGCGAGUGUUAACUGCGCGUUUAGUUGCAGGGUAUAGACCCGAAACCCGGCGAUCUACCCAUGGGCAGGUUGAAGGUUGAGUAACAUCAACUGGAGGACCGAACACACGUAUGUUGAAAAAUGCGGUGAUGACUUGUGGGUCGGAGUGAAAGGCUAAUCAAGCCGGGAGAUAGCUGGUUCUCCCCGAAAUCUAUUUAGGUAGAGCCUCGCACGAACACCAUUGGGGGUAGAGCACUGUUAAGGCUAGGGGGUCAUCCCGACUUACCAACCCUUUGCAAACUCCGAAUACCAAUGAGUGAUAUGCGGGAGACACACUACGGGUGCUAACGUCCGUUGUGAAGAGGGAAACAACCCAGACCGCCAGCUAAGGUCCCAAAGUACUAGUUAAGUGGGAAACGAUGUGGAAAGGCAUAGACAGCUAGGAGGUUGGCUUAGAAGCAGCCAUCCUUUAAAGAAAGCGUAAUAGCUCACUAGUCGAGUCGGUCUGCGCGGAAGAUGUAACGGGGCUAAACUAGUCACCGAAGCUGCGGAUUCAAUCUUUUAGAUUGAGUGGUAGGGGAGCGUUCUGUAAGCCGUUGAAGGUGAGUUGUAAAGCUUGCUGGAGGUAUCAGAAGUGCGAAUGCUGACAUGAGUAACGAUAAGGGGAGUGAAAAACUCCCCCGCCGAAAGACCAAGGUUUCCUGUCCCAUGUUAAUCAGGGCAGGGUAAGUCGGCCCCUAAGGCGAGGCGGAAACGCGUAGUCGAUGGGAAACAGAUUAAUAUUUCUGUACU